UCUAGUUACCAUGACAAUAUUUUAUCUUCUACUAACAGUUUAUUUUAAUUACUAAAAAAAUCGUAAAGAAAAAUACAUUUUUUUAAAUUCAAAAAACUUUUACACCUUAUGUUCUAGAAUAUAUACAAAUAAGUUUUUUCAUUAUUUUAAAAGUGCCUUUUACUUAUACAAGUGGUUGUGUAUUUAUAUCAUGACAGUUUCACAUAUAUCUAUUAUUUUAUGACACAAAUCUACAAAGUAUAUACCAAUUUUCAAAAAUUAUCAAAAUUUUAACUGAAGCAAUUGAAAGAAACCGCUUGGCAUUGAUAUGCUACUUGAUCAUGUAUUAAGAUGUGAACCACAUUAAAAACUGAAAAGCCACUGGUUUUUUUUUUUUUUCAAUUAAAAUAUUUAUAAGAAACAAGAAGUCAUAAGUCAUAUUCAUUUCAUCAUAACAUGUGAUUGUCUGAUUAUUUUGUGUGAAAAAAGACAGAUGUCCAUACUUACAAGAAAAUGGAACAUGCCAUAGGUUUGGACUAAAAUUUAUACUUUAAAAUUGGUGCUUAACUUGCAUUUGUGGACUAACUUUUGCAGGUUUUGAUGUUGUAUAAUUGCCAAAAAUUGUUGUAUUUUAAGUGUUCAGCAAAUUAUUGUUACAGCAAACUUGCCACACUGUUUGUUGUUUAAACUGUUAUUGUGUGUUUUUUUACUAUUUCUUUUGUUGCUUUAUAACUUAUGUGUAUUCUAAUUACGCUGAUAAGCAUAUAGAAAUGAAAUGAAAAAAUUCUGAGAAAUUGAAGAAAUAAAAUCGUUUCAUUUCCUUAUCAGGUUAGCUGUUGAUUAAAUUUGUAAAUGAAAUUUUUUUUACAUUUAAUUUUAAGUCCAUGUGUUUUAAAUUUUUUGUUGAUGUAAGCAUAAAAGAAAGGUACACAUUUGAAAAAAGUUUAGACAGCUUUUAGAAGCUUUUUAUAAAAAAAUAGCUUAAAGUUGUUUAUAACUUUUGAAAAGCACAAAAAGUACCAUUAUGAUUUUUUUUUAGCUGAAACAUUUUCUUGUUAAAAAAAUUAUCUUAUGUAUUUAAAUUUUAAUAUAUAGGACAAGAUUGUACAUAUUUAAUUUUCAGAACCAAAAUUUAAGUUGAGGUUUUGCUAUUUAUUUGCUAUUUAUUUUAAAUUCCUAUUUUUUUUUUUUAUUUCUAUAGUUUUUUACAAGCUUGAGAUAUCCAAAGAUAAUUGUAUCAGAAAAGAUGUGUAAAAAAUGCUUUAUAUCUUUCAAACACUACAUUAACAAAGAAGAGACAAAAAAGAAACAAAUUCAUAUCUUUAUUGUAAAACAGAAGUUUAUAAGGGUAUUAUUUCAGAGGACUUAUUCAUUUUAUCAUGCACAUUUCAUUACAACAUCUAUCUAGGUCCAUUUUGGUGAAAACUGAUGUUUAAUAAGAAAACAACAUACCCAAAUUUUAAUUUCUUCAUAUGAGAGGAAGAAAUAUAUAUUGAACUAUGAAGAGUGUAAAAGAAAUGGAUAUAUUUUGUCAGAUGCUUAAUUGAAUUUCAUAUUAAAUCAAAUAAAUAUCAGUAAAACUGAGAUAUCAAGAGAAGAGGGGGAGGACAGGGAGAAAGGAGAAGAAGGCUGGGAGAAAGGAGAAAAAGUUGGAGAAAGGAGAAAAAUUUUUGAUUUAUCUCAAAAGGAGAUGUUUUAUUCUAAUGGGAGAAAGGAGAACCGGGUAGGAGAAAGGAGAAGAGGGGUGGGAGAAGGGAGAAGGGUACCCCCCUGUCCUCCCCCUCAGAGAACGUCCUCAAGAGAUGCACAAAUUUAUUUCUAACUUUACAAUAAUGCAUUUGUACAUCAUAUAUAUCUGUCAUACGUUUAUCAUUCAGUAAAUCAUCAGUUAUACAUAAAAUGAUAUUAUUACCACCAGAUAUUUUUUGUGUUACAUGUUUUUUUGUGUGUUAAAAUUACAUUGUUUUUUUAUGUCAAAUUUUUUUCUGUUGUUGUAUACAUGAAAAUAAGGCUGGGAUACAACAACACAAUUAACAGAGUGUAGCUAUAUUAUUCCAAACAUAGCUUUAUAGAACAUUUAUAAUGGACCAUUAGAAAAAGAUUUUGAGUUUUCCAUGUCUCGUCUCGUUAGGAGUGUUAUAUGUAAGAUCCACUAUAUAAGUAAAAUUAGAAAAAAAAAUGAAAAAGCUUAAAAAUGAAAAAAACUCAUUAAUACAUACAUAUUUUUGAUGAGAAGUAUAUUUUAUACUGGGCAGAUGGUACAUUGCAUUCCCUAUCAUUGGGUCACAUCAUAUCUUUGGAUAUAUUUUAUCAUUUGUAAUAAAAUACAACUGAUAGUUUAUUAUUGUUUUCUUAUUUUUCAACUGUACAAGAAGAAGAAAAAAACAUGCUAGUUCUGGCCUUUCCAAGAUAUUGUUACCUUGUAAUACAAAUUUCCUUGUAGAUAUCGUCACAUAAUGAGAUAUAUGAAUGUCUUUUCCAAG
Molecule: long non-coding RNA, 2462 nt
Filed under: Mytilus galloprovincialis (Mediterranean mussel)
Lineage: Eukaryota; Metazoa; Mollusca; Bivalvia; Mytilida; Mytilidae
Source: RNAcentral